Molecule: ribosomal RNA, 460 nt
Filed under: uncultured bacterium
Lineage: Bacteria
Description: partial 16S ribosomal RNA
Rfam family: Bacterial small subunit ribosomal RNA
Source: RNAcentral
CCUACGGGUGGCAGCAGUGAGGAAUAUUGGUCAAUGGACGAGAGUCUGAACCAGCCAAGUAGCGUGAAGGAUGACUGCCCUAUGGGUUGUAAACUUCUUUUAUAUGGGAAUAAAAUGCUCCACGUGUGGGAUCUUGUAUGUACCAUAUGAAUAAGGAUCGGCUAAUUCCGUGCCAGCAGCCGCGGUAAUACGGAGGAUCCGAGCGUUAUCCGGAUUUAUUGGGUUUAAAGGGAGCGUAGGUGGAUUGUUAAGUCAGUUGUGAAAGUUUGCGGCUCAACCGUAGAAUUGCAGUUGAAACUGGGAGUCUUGAGUACAGUAGAGGUGGGCGGAAGUCGUGGUGUAGCGGUGAAAUGCUUAGAUAUCACGAAGAACUCCGAUUGCGAAGGCAGUUCACUGGACUGCAACUGACACUGAGGCUCGAAAGUGUGGGUAUCAAACAGGAUUAGAUACCCUAGUAGUC